UAAAAAAUUUUCAGUUCAAGAUUGACAUUCCCCUUUGCUUCUUCUUCUUCUUCUUCUUCUUUCUUAUACAACGGGUUUUUCAAAUCGUUCGUUUCAAUCGCCUACAUCAGUCAUUAGCGUUAACAUUUAGAGCUCAAUGCAGAUUGGACGGAUGUAUUUGAUCUAUCUAGAUCAAUCCAAUUUCUCCUCUAGGGGGGAAAACCCAGCUUUAAAACCAUUGCGAUUGGAGGUCGCCGCUAGUGAAAAACUAGGUCAGGCUGAUCCAUGAAAUCGUGAUGACCUGAAGUCUGGGACAUUU
This 298-nucleotide small nucleolar RNA is filed under the name Lodderomyces parapsilosis CDC317. Its description in RNAcentral is "Candida parapsilosis CDC317 Small nucleolar RNA snR42". It matches the Rfam family "Small nucleolar RNA snR42". Lineage: Eukaryota; Fungi; Ascomycota; Pichiomycetes; Serinales; Debaryomycetaceae. The record is from Rfam by way of RNAcentral.